UGAGAGGUCUAUCCUGACGCA
Molecule: microRNA, 21 nt
Filed under: Drosophila ananassae
Lineage: Eukaryota; Metazoa; Arthropoda; Insecta; Diptera; Drosophilidae
Description: Dan-Novel-7_5p (mature (guide))
Source: RNAcentral